GAUGAACGCUGGCGGCGUGCCUAAUACAUGCAAGUCGAGCGAACAGAUGAGGAGCUUGCUCCUCUGACGUUAGCGGCGGACGGGUGAGUAACACGUGGAUAACCUACCUAUAAGACUGGGAUAACUUCGGGAAACCGGAGCUAAUACCGGAUAAUAUAUUGAACCGCAUGGUUCAAUAGUGAAAGACGGUUUUGCUGUCACUUAUAGAUGGAUCCGCGCCGCAUUAGCUAGUUGGUAAGGUAACGGCUUACCAAGGCAACGAUGCGUAGCCGACCUGAGAGGGUGAUCGGCCACACUGGAACUGAGACACGGUCCAGGCUCCUACGAGAGGCAGCAGUAGGGAAUCUUCCGCAAUGGGCGAAAGCCUGACGGAGCAACGCCGCGUGAGUGAUGAAGGUCUUCGGAUCGUAAAACUCUGUUAUUAGGGAAGAACAAAUGUGUAAGUAACUAUGCACGUCUUGACGGUACCUAAUCAGAAAGCCACGGCUAACUACGUG
Molecule: ribosomal RNA, 497 nt
Filed under: uncultured bacterium
Lineage: Bacteria
Description: partial 16S ribosomal RNA
Rfam family: Bacterial small subunit ribosomal RNA
Source: RNAcentral